RNAcentral lists this ribosomal RNA (256 nucleotides) under uncultured bacterium. Its description in RNAcentral is "partial 16S ribosomal RNA". It matches the Rfam family "Bacterial small subunit ribosomal RNA", at positions 336 to 606 of the family's 1533-position model. The record is from RNAcentral.
CUCCUACGGGAGGCAGCAGUGGGGAAUAUUGGACAAUGGGGGGAACCCUGAUCCAGCGACGCCGCGCGAGUGAGGAAGUAUUUCGGUAUGUAAAGCUCUAUCAGCAGGGAAGAAAGAAAUGACGGUACCUGACUAAGAAGCCCCGGCUAACUACGUGCCAGCAGCCGCGGUAAUACGUAGGGGGCAAGCGGUAUCCGGAUUUACUGGGUGUAAAGGAGGCGCAGACGGCGAUGCAAGCCAGGAGUGAAAGACCGGG